RNAcentral lists this long non-coding RNA (1227 nucleotides) under Callithrix jacchus (white-tufted-ear marmoset). RNAcentral describes it as "lncRNA (ENSCJAG00000073796.1)". Lineage: Eukaryota; Metazoa; Chordata; Mammalia; Primates; Cebidae. The record is from RNAcentral.
AUGAUUUCUGGUUUAUUAUCCAGGCUUGUAUUUUCUGUGGAAGGGUUGAUGGCUUUGGUUUAUGAGAACCAAUUAACUCAUGACAGAUUCCUGGAAUGCUAUUCUUAUUCUCAUUCUCGUCUCUUCUCUUCCCCACCAUCCGUGUCUCUCUCAAUCUCUCUCACAUGUGCAUGUGCAUGCACACACACACACACGCACACACUCACACACAUACACACACUCGCACACAUACACACAUGCACGCACACACUCACACAUACACAUACACACACGCACACUCACACACAUACACACACUCACACACAUACACGCACACACUCACACACACUCACACACAUACACCCACAUACACACACUCACAUACACACACAUACACGCACACACACAUACACACACUCACACAUACACCACACAUACACGUACAUGCUCACACACACGCACACACUCACACACAUACACACACUCACAUACAUACACACACAUACACGUACAUGCUCACACACAUACACGCACACACUCACACACAUACACACACUCACAUACAUACACACACAUACACGUACAUGCUCACACACAUACACGCACACACUCACACACAUACACACACUCACAUACAUACACACACAUACACGUACAUGCUCACACACAUACACGCACACACUCACACACAUACACCACACUCACAUACAUACACACACAUACACACACAUACACGUACAUGCUCACACACAUACACACACACACUCACACACAUACACACACUCACAUACAUACACACACAUACACACACAUACACACACUCACACACAUACACGUACAUGCUCACACACAUACACACACUCACACAGACACAUACACACAUACAUGUACAUGCUCACACACAUACACGCACUCACACAUACACAUACACACACAUACACGUACAUGCUCACACACAUACACGCACACACUCACAUACACACACUCACACAUACACGCACACACUCACACACACGCACACUCACACACAUACACACAUACCCGCACACACAUACACACACAUACACACACAUACACACAUACACACAUACACACACACAUACAAACACACUCACACACACACAUACACUCACACAGUCACACACACACACACACACAUAUACACACACACGCCACAAAUUUUAUGUCUCUUCCCUAACAAUUGGAACAUUGUGGACUAGAAAAUGGGCAUCUGAAGCAGGAACAUAG